UGCGCAGGCGGAAUAUUAAGUCAGUGGUGAAAUCCUACAGCUCAACUGUAGAACUGCCAUUGAAACUGAUAUUCUUGAGUAUAGUUGUAGUGGGCGGAAUAUAUCAUGUAGCGGUGAAAUGCUUAGAUAUGAUAUAGAACGCCGAUCGCGAAGGCAGCUCACUAAACUAUAACUGACGCUCAGGCACGAAAGCGUGGGGAGCAAACAGGAUUAGAUACCCGGUAGUCC
RNAcentral lists this ribosomal RNA (228 nucleotides) under uncultured bacterium. RNAcentral's name for it is "partial 16S ribosomal RNA". It matches the Rfam family "Bacterial small subunit ribosomal RNA", at positions 568 to 796 of the family's 1533-position model. The record is from RNAcentral.